AAACUACUCCCUCCGUUCCAAAUUAGUUGCCUUGAUUUAUCUAGAUACAGAUGUAUCUAACACUAAAAUGUGUCUGGAUAUAUCCGUAUCUAGAUAAAUCUGAGUCAAAUAAUUCGGGGCGGAUGGAGUAACUG
Non-coding RNA from Triticum aestivum (bread wheat), 134 nucleotides. The record is from Rfam. NCBI's taxonomy places the organism in Eukaryota, Viridiplantae, Streptophyta, Magnoliopsida, Poales, Poaceae.